This 71-nucleotide transfer RNA is filed under the name Manacus vitellinus (golden-collared manakin). It matches the Rfam family "tRNA". From Rfam's summary of the family: Transfer RNA (tRNA) molecules are approximately 80 nucleotides in length. Their secondary structure includes four short double-helical elements and three loops (D, anti-codon, and T loops). The record is from Rfam by way of RNAcentral. Lineage: Eukaryota; Metazoa; Chordata; Aves; Passeriformes; Pipridae.
CCCCUGGUGGUCUAGUGGUUAGGAUGCGGCCUCUCACCACCAAGGCCCAGGUUCGAUUCCCGGUCAGGGGG